Fukomys damarensis (Damara mole-rat) is the source of this 127-nucleotide small nucleolar RNA. Lineage: Eukaryota; Metazoa; Chordata; Mammalia; Rodentia; Bathyergidae. The record is from Ensembl.
CUGCAUCCACUGAUAGACCUUGAACAAUUUGUUGUUCUUUAGGUUUGCACUAGGAUGCUAAAGGAAAUAAUCCCUGCGCUUUCUGUCUGUCUUUAUGGCAGCCCAGAUUGAAUUAGGGAGUACAUUU